Molecule: non-coding RNA, 2506 nt
Organism: Pelodiscus sinensis (Chinese soft-shelled turtle)
Lineage: Eukaryota; Metazoa; Chordata; Testudines; Trionychidae
Source: RefSeq, a predicted model, not a curated record
UGACUCUAGCUAGCCAGUCAAAUCCAGACUUGGUGCAUAGGCUUCUGGGAGAUGUAGUCUUUUUUUUAAACCCAGUUGGGUGUGGAUAAAGGGGGUGCUCGGACUCUCGGGGUUGCACUGUGGGGCUGCCAUGUUGCCUGGGGGAGUGGGAUGCCCUGGCACCACGUGGUAUGGCUGGGGUUGCUGCUAAGGGCUUGGGCUGCAGCAAGUGUAAGCCAGCCCUGGGGACCCCCUUAAAAUGGGGCACCCCCACUUUGGGGUCCUGCUGCCCCACUGUUUGAGAGCCACUGCAUUGGACCCCAGUGCAUUGCCAGAGCCCCUUGGACUGCAACCGCGAGGGCCUGCUGCCUCCCCAGAGCCCCUGGGACGGCAACCGCUGGGGCCUGCUGCCGCCCCAGAGCCCCUUGGACUGCAACCGCGAGGGCCUGCUGCCUCCCCAGAGCCCCUGGGACGGCAACCGCUGGGGCCUGCUGCCGCCCCAGAGCCCCUUGGACUGCAACCGCGAGGGCCUGCUGCCUCCCCAGAGCCCCUGGGACGGCAACCGCUGGGGCCUGCUGCCGCCCCAGAGCCCCUUGGACUGCAACCGCGAGGGCCUGCUGCCUCCCCAGAGCCCCUGGGACGGCAACCGCUGGGGCCUGCUGCCGCCCCAGAGCCCCUUGGACUGCAACCGCGAGGGCCUGCUGCCUCCCCAGAGCCCCUGGGACGGCAACCGCUGGGGCCUGCUGCCGCCCCAGAGCCCCUUGGACUGCAACCGCGAGGGCCUGCUGCCUCCCCAGAGCCCCUGGGACGGCAACCGCUGGGGCCUGCUGCCGCCCCAGAGCCCCUUGGACUGCAACCGCGAGGGCCUGCUGCCUCCCCAGAGCCCCUGGGACGGCAACCGCUGGGGCCUGCUGCCGCCCCAGAGCCCCUUGGACUGCAACCGCGAGGGCCUGCUGCCUCCCCAGAGCCCCUGGGACGGCAACCGCUGGGGCCUGCUGCCGCCCCAGAGCCCCUUGGACUGCAACCGCGAGGGCCUGCUGCCUCCCCAGAGCCCCUGGGACGGCAACCGCUGGGGCCUGCUGCCGCCCCAGAGCCCCUUGGACUGCAACCGCGAGGGCCUGCUGCCUCCCCAGAGCCCCUGGGACGGCAACCGCUGGGGCCUGCUGCCGCCCCAGAGCCCCUUGGACUGCAACCGCGAGGGCCUGCUGCCUCCCCAGAGCCCCUGGGACGGCAACCGCUGGGGCCUGCUGCCGCCCCAGAGCCCCUUGGACUGCAACCGCGAGGGCCUGCUGCCUCCCCAGAGCCCCUGGGACGGCAACCGCUGGGGCCUGCUGCCGCCCCAGAGCCCCUUGGACUGCAACCGCGAGGGCCUGCUGCCUCCCCAGAGCCCCUGGGACGGCAACCGCUGGGGCCUGCUGCCGCCCCAGAGCCCCUUGGACUGCAACCGCGAGGGCCUGCUGCCUCCCCAGAGCCCCUGGGACGGCAACCGCUGGGGCCUGCUGCCGCCCCAGAGCCCCUUGGACUGCAACCGCGAGGGCCUGCUGCCUCCCCAGAGCCCCUGGGACGGCAACCGCUGGGGCCUGCUGCCGCCCCAGAGCCCCUUGGACUGCAACCGCGAGGGCCUGCUGCCUCCCCAGAGCCCCUGGGACGGCAACCGCUGGGGCCUGCUGCCGCCCCAGAGCCCCUUGGACUGCAACCGCGAGGGCCUGCUGCCUCCCCAGAGCCCCUGGGACGGCAACCGCUGGGGCCUGCUGCCGCCCCAGAGCCCCUUGGACUGCAACCGCGAGGGCCUGCUGCCUCCCCAGAGCCCCUGGGACGGCAACCGCUGGGGCCUGCUGCCGCCCCAGAGCCCCUUGGACUGCAACCGCGAGGGCCUGCUGCCUCCCCAGAGCCCCUGGGACGGCAACCGCUGGGGCCUGCUGCCGCCCCAGAGCCCCUUGGACUGCAACCGCUAGGGCCUGCUGCCUCCCCAGAGCUGGGACUGGCACCCCUGCGUCCUGGCUCCCAGAUCUACUUCGACUGCAACCACUGGAGCUUGCUGCCUCCCCAGAGCUGGGACUAGGACACAGGAGUCCUGGCUCCUAGGCCUAAGCACUAGAACCUGCCCUCUUCCCAGAGCUAGGAAGACAACACGUCUCCUCUUCCAUGCUGGCAGAUUUCUUCCGCACUAAAGACCGUCCGCCAUGGCCCGUACCAAGCAGACUGCUCGUAAAUCCACUGGUGGGAAGGCCCCCCGUAAACAACUGGCCACCAAAGCAGCCAGGAAAAGUGCGCCCUCAACCGGGGGAGUGAAGAAACCUCACCGUUACAGGCCUGGCACCGUGGCCCUUCGAGAGAUCCGGCGGUACCAGAAAUCCACUGAGCUGCUGAUUCGCAAGCUCCCGUUCCAGCGUCUGGUCCGUGAGAUCGCUCAGGACUUCAAGACGGACCUGCGGUUCCAGAGCGCAGCCAUCGGAGCCCUACAGGAAGCCAGUGAGGCUUAUCUCGUGGGUCUCUUUGAAGACACCAACUUGUGUGCAAUCCACGC